Molecule: transfer RNA, 92 nt
Filed under: Verrucomicrobiota bacterium
Lineage: Bacteria; Pseudomonadati; Verrucomicrobiota
Description: Verrucomicrobia bacterium tRNA-Ser
Rfam family: tRNA
About the family: Transfer RNA (tRNA) molecules are approximately 80 nucleotides in length. Their secondary structure includes four short double-helical elements and three loops (D, anti-codon, and T loops). Further hydrogen bonds mediate the characteristic L-shaped molecular structure. tRNAs have two regions of fundamental functional importance: the anti-codon, which is responsible for specific mRNA codon recognition, and the 3' end, to which the tRNAs corresponding amino acid is attached (by aminoacyl-tRNA synthetases). tRNAs cope with the degeneracy of the genetic code in two manners: having more than one tRNA (with a specific anti-codon) for a particular amino acid; and 'wobble' base-pairing, i.e. permitting non-standard base-pairing at the 3rd anti-codon position.
Source: RNAcentral
GGAGAGGUGGCUGAGUGGCCGAAAGCGGCGGUUUGCUAAACCGUUGUACGGGUAAAACCGUACCGGGGGUUCGAAUCCCCCUCUCUCCGCCA